This 568-nucleotide ribosomal RNA is filed under the name Odonthalia dentata. Its description in RNAcentral is "eukaryotic LSU rRNA". It matches the Rfam family "Eukaryotic large subunit ribosomal RNA", at positions 364 to 1006 of the family's 3401-position model. The record is from RNAcentral. Lineage: Eukaryota; Rhodophyta; Florideophyceae; Ceramiales; Rhodomelaceae.
UUUAAAAGCACUUUGAAAAGAGGGUGAAAAGAACCUGAAACCGUUACGUGGAGAGCGUAUUGCAGCAGAGUGAAGGGUGCGUUCUGUUCAGCCCAGGUUUUUCUGGGUGUAUUCAGUGCGUUACUCGCCAGUCGUGAGCUUCUGGUGGCCGAUCUUGGGCUGCUGGGGGUGGAGGGCUCCCUUUCGAGGUGAGGACGAUCUGGAUAAUGCUGCGAUUCGACCCGUCUUGAAACACGGACCAAGGAGUCUAGCGUAUCUGCGAGUCAAAGGGUGGUGAAACCUGAGGGCGCAGUGAAAGCGACUGUAAAACGUUUGCAGUUUGAGGCGGCAUACGAUCGUUGAUUGUAGGUCCGUCCUAGAGCAAAUAUGCUAGGACCCGAAAGAUGGUGAACUAUGCUUGAGUAGGGUGAAGCCAGGAGAAAUUCUGGUGGAAGCUCGUAGCGGUGCUGACGUGCAAAUCGCUCGUCUAACUUGAGUAUAGGGGCGAAAGACUAAUCGAACUAUCUGGUAGCUGGUUUCCUCCGAAGUUUCUCUCAGGAUAGCGGACCGAUUUGUUGUUGUUGUGUGC